UAGUGAACCAGUACCGUGAGGGAAAGGCGAAAAGAACCCCGGCGAGGGGAGUGAAAAAGAACCUGAAACCGUGUACGUACAAGCAGUGGGAGCACCCUUUGGGGUGUGACUGCGUACCUUUUGUAUAAUGGGUCAGCGACUUAUAUUCUGUAGCAAGGUUAACCGUAUAGGGGAGCCGGAGGGAAACCGAGUCUUAACCGGGCGUUAAGUUGCAGGGUAUAGACCCGAAACCCGGUGAUCUAGCCAUGGGCAGGUUGAAGGUUGGGUAACACUAACUGGAGGACCGAACCGA
Molecule: ribosomal RNA, 292 nt
Filed under: Salmonella enterica subsp. enterica
Lineage: Bacteria; Pseudomonadati; Pseudomonadota; Gammaproteobacteria; Enterobacterales; Enterobacteriaceae
Description: partial 23S ribosomal RNA
Rfam family: Bacterial large subunit ribosomal RNA
Source: RNAcentral